CCUACGGGAGGCAGCAGUGGGGAAUUUUGGACAAUGGGGGCAACCCUGAUCCAGCCAUGCCGCGUGAGUGAAGAAGGCCUUCGGGUUGUAAAGCUCUUUCAGCCGGAACGAAACGGUCACGGCUAAUACCCGUGACUAAUGACGGUACCGGAAGAAGAAGCACCGGCUAACUACGUGCCAGCAGCCGCGGUAAUACGUAGGGUGCGAGCGUUAAUCGGAAUUACUGGGCGUAAAGCGUGCGCAGGCGGUUUUGUAAGUCAGAUGUGAAAUCCCCGGGCUUAACCUGGGAACUGCGUUUGAAACUGCAAGGCUAGAGUGUAGCAGAGGGGGGUGGAAUUCCACGUGUAGCAGUGAAAUGCGUAGAGAUGUGGAGGAACACCGAUGGCGAAGGCAGCCCCCUGGGCUAACACUGACGCUCAGGCACGAAAGCGUGGGGAGCAAACAGGAUUAGAUACCCUGGUAGUCCACGCCCUAAACGAUGUCAACUAGUUGUCGGGUCUUAACGGACUUGGUAACGCAGCUAACGCGUGAAGUUGACCGCCUGGGGAGUACGGUCGCAAGAUUAAAACUCAAAUGAGUUGACGGGG
RNAcentral lists this ribosomal RNA (587 nucleotides) under uncultured Nitrosospira sp. Its description in RNAcentral is "bacterial SSU rRNA". It matches the Rfam family "Bacterial small subunit ribosomal RNA", at positions 338 to 918 of the family's 1533-position model. Lineage: Bacteria; Pseudomonadati; Pseudomonadota; Betaproteobacteria; Nitrosomonadales; Nitrosomonadaceae. The record is from RNAcentral.